UGUAUGUUGUAUUAAUACUUCCAGAACACAAGGUUACUACUAACAAACACUUGUUUAUUUAUCCUGAAGACAAAUAGACGUGUUAGAAUCAUUAACAACACGAGUCUGUCCUUUAAUAAAAUGUCCAGGUGGGACUUAAAGGAGCAGCUUCAUAGCACCUGUUCAGGUAGAACAACAUGUCUUUAUGAUUGGUUUCAGUAGAGUCCGGGAGGACAGGGACAACUUCAGGAUUACAUAUGUGACAUCUGUCCACAGGGGACAGCGUCAGUAGUAAACAGAAGACAUCCGACCACAUAACCUUAACAUGUAGUUUAAGUAUCAGCAGUAAAAGUACACAAGUAUCCUCAGCCUCAUGUAGUUAAAGUAUCAGCAGUAAAAGUACACAAGUAUCAUCGGCCUCAUGUAGUUAAAGUAUCUGCAUUAAAGGUACACAAGUAUCAUCGCCUCAUGUAGUUAAAGUAUCAGCAGUAAAAGUACACAAGUAUCAUUGGCCUCAUGUAGUUAAAGUAUCUGCAUUAAAGGUACACAAGUAUCAUCGCCUCAUGUAGUUAAAGUAUCAGCAGUAAAAGUACACAAGUAUCAUCGCCUCAUGUAGUUAAAGUAUCAGCAGUAAAAGUACACAAGUAUCAUCGCCUCAUGUAGUUAAAGUAUCUGCAUUAAAAGUACACAAGUAUCCUCAGCUUCAUGUAGUUAAAGUAUCAGCAGUAAAAGUACACAAGUAUCAUCGGCCUCAUGUAGUUAAAGUGUCUGCAGUAAAAGUACACAAGUAUCAUCAGCCUCAUGUAGUUUAAGUAUCAGCAGUAAAAGUACACAAGUAUCAUCGUCCUCAUGUAGUUAAAGUAUCAGCAGUAAAAGUACACAAGUAUCCUCGGCCUCAUGUAGUUAAAGUAUCAGGAGUAUAAGUACACAAGUAUCAUCGGCCUCAUGUAGUUAAAGUAUCAGCAGUAAAAGUACACAAGUAUCAUCGUCCUCAUGUAGUUAAAGUAUCAGCAGUAAAAGUACACAAGUAUCAUCGUCCUCAUGUAGUUAAAGUAUCAGCAGUAAAAGUACACAAGUAUCAUCGUCCUCAUGUAGUUAAAGUAUCAGCAGUAAAAGUACACAAGUAUCAUCGUCCUCAUGUAGUUAAAGUAUCAGCAGUAAAAGUACACAAGUAUCAUCGUCCUCAUGUAGUUAAAGUAUCAGCAGUAAAAGUACACAAGUAUCAUCGUCCUCAUGUAGUUAAAGUAUCAGCAGUAAAAGUACACAAGUAUCAUCGUCCUCAUGUAGUUAAAGUAUCAGCAGUAAAAGUACACAAGUAUCAU
This is a long non-coding RNA of Epinephelus fuscoguttatus (brown-marbled grouper), 1301 nucleotides long. RefSeq lists it as uncharacterized. NCBI's taxonomy places the organism in Eukaryota, Metazoa, Chordata, Actinopteri, Perciformes, Serranidae. The record is from RefSeq and is a predicted model, not a curated record. The transcript has 3 exons.